UAGGGAAUCUUCCACAAUGGACGCAAGUCUGAUGGAGCAACGCCGCGUGAGUGAAGAUGGUUUUCGGAUCGUAAAGCUCUGUUGUUGGUGAAGAAGGAUAGAGGUAGUAACUGGCCUUUAUUUGACGGUAAUCAACCAGAAAGUCACGGCUAACUACGUGCCAGCAGCCGCGGUAAUACGUAGGUGGCAAGCGUUGUCCGGAUUUAUUGGGCGUAAAGCGAGCGCAGGCGGAAGAAUAAGUCUGAUGUGAAAGCCCUCGGCUUAACCGAGGAACUGCAUCGGAAACUGUUUUUCUUGAGUGCAGAAGAGGAGAGUGGAAUUCCAUGUGUAGCGGUGGAAUGCGUAGAUAUAUGGAAGAACACCAGUGGCGAAGGCGACUCUCUGGUCUGCAACUGACGCUGAGGCUCGAAAGCAUGGGUAGCGAACAGG
RNAcentral lists this ribosomal RNA (429 nucleotides) under bacterium. RNAcentral's name for it is "partial 16S ribosomal RNA". It matches the Rfam family "Bacterial small subunit ribosomal RNA", at positions 355 to 776 of the family's 1533-position model. The record is from RNAcentral.